AAUGAACGCUGACGGCGCGCCUAAUACAUGCAAUUCGAGCGAGAAGACGUAGCAAUACGUUUGUAAAGCGGCGAACGGGUGAGGAAUACAUGGGUAACCUACCCUCGAGUGGGGAAUAACUAGCCGAAAGGUUAGCUAAUACCGCGUACGCUUCUUGGACUUCGGUUCAGGGAGGAAAGCGAUACCGUGGGUAUCGCGCUCUUGGAUGGGCUCAUGUCCUAUCAGCUUGUUGGUGAGGUAACGGCUCACCAAGGCUUCGACGGGUAGCUGGUCUGAGAGGACGAUCAGCCACACUGGCACUGCGACACGGGCCAGACUCCUACGGGAGGCAGCAGUAAGGAAAUAUUGCGC
Molecule: ribosomal RNA, 351 nt
Filed under: uncultured bacterium
Lineage: Bacteria
Description: bacterial SSU rRNA
Rfam family: Bacterial small subunit ribosomal RNA
Source: RNAcentral